Molecule: long non-coding RNA, 560 nt
Organism: Olea europaea var. sylvestris
Lineage: Eukaryota; Viridiplantae; Streptophyta; Magnoliopsida; Lamiales; Oleaceae
Exons: 2
Source: RefSeq, a predicted model, not a curated record
AUCAUCCAGAAAAGCACUUGACUGAGUAGAGAAGAUAAGAAAAAAAUGAAGGGAUUUGCAGUGAUUUUGUUAGUGGUUGUAGCCAUGGUUCAGCUGUUCAUGGCUAAACCAGGAGCAGCCAUUUCUUGUGGCCAAGUUGAAUCUCAAAUUUCUCCAUGUUUGACAUAUCUGAGUGAAGGAGGAACUCCAUCUCCAUCAUGCUGAAGCGGCGUUAAGACUCUGAGUCAGUCUCUUCAAACUACACAAGAUAGGCAGACCGCAUGUGGCUGUUUAAAGACGGCAGCCUCACACUACACUAACCUUAAGCCGGAUGCUGCCUCCCAGCUCCCGACUAAAUGUGGUGUUUCCAUUGGCGUCCCAAUUUCUCCUACAGUCGACUGCAGAGAGAUUCACUGAGAAGGAUAGUUCAUUUGAGGGAAUAAAUUGAGAGGAAGUUUUGGUUAUAGCCAGCUAUGCUAUUAUGUUUACUUUACUACUGGGUUGUUGCCUACCAGUGAUGUCCUCGGUUGUUGAAUACGUUUAUUGAAUAAAAUUAGCUUUAUAAUGACUCAGUAACAUAA